Molecule: long non-coding RNA, 1252 nt
Organism: Ceratina calcarata
Lineage: Eukaryota; Metazoa; Arthropoda; Insecta; Hymenoptera; Apidae
Exons: 4
Source: RefSeq, a predicted model, not a curated record
GAAGGCACAUGGGCCGGUAUUCACAGUCCGUGCUUAAGAAUAAGACCGUCUUAAGCAAAUGCUUAAGUCGCCGGUCCGGACUUAUUUGGGCGAAUAAGCAAAUGCUUGAGGCGACGUCUUAAGCAUUUGCUUGACCAAGCAAUUGCUCAGUUGGGAGGACUGUGCGCAUGCGCAGUCGAAUAAGCAAAUGCUUAUUCGAACAAGCAAAUGCUUAUUGGAAUAAGAAAUUCUUAUUCGACCGAAGGAAGUGCUUAUUGCUCGAAAAGUGAGGUUGGAUUUUCAAGUCGAGGUUUUACUCGACUUAAGACCACACGGACAGGUCACGUACAGGGCGUGAGCAUUAGUGUUAGUGAGCCGUCAAGCGUUUGGAAGUGUAGUUGUACGGAAAAAAUGGAUCUUGCGUCGAACGAAAUACAAAUUGAGUAUAUGGAAGACAUCGAAAAUGCUGAAAAUAUCGACGACGUUGAAGACAGCAUCAUGGACUUAAUUAAUAAUCCGAUCGUAAGGACGUAUAUCCGUGAUAGGCAAAAUCCAUUUGAAUAUUACGAUGGAUUGGAAUUUAAAAGACGGUACCGAUUCACUAACGAAUCGGUAUUACAUCGUAUUUUACUGAAAAUCCUUGACGAAUUGAAGAAAUUCAAUAAUCGUGGUCUGCCAAUUCCGCGACAGUUGCAAUUGUUCCUGUUUUUGUGAUAUUAUGCAAGUGCAAGUUUUCAGCCGGUGCUCGGACAUCUCGCAGCCCACGAUUUUCCGAAUAGUCAGGCGUGUCAACAAGGAUGAACAAUAUAGAUGAAGUCCUUAGAAAUCGAAAAGGAUACUUCUCACUGAAUGUGCAAGCGGUUGUUGGGCCCAGAAUGGCCAGGCAGUGCGAACUACUGCCGGAUUUUCCAGAACUCUCGUCUCGAAAUUGGAUGGGAUGCUGGUUGGUGACAGGGGAUAACGCUGUUUGCCAUUCUUAUUGAUCCCGAUCACAGAUGCCAGAACAAAUGAAGGAAUAACGUAUAAUAAUACCCAUGCGAGAACUAGUCGAAGGCUAGUGACCAGUGCGAAGUAUGCGCCAUGCUGCACAACAUCAUAUGCAGGGACAUGUUGCCAGAAAAUAACAAGGAGAAAACAGACAACUUGAAGUGCCAGUAUGGAAUAUUCAAAGUCUUUAACCUUCGAGCGGCUUAGCUGCUCGAGAGGCGUUAAUUGAACAUUUCUUCAAUUAAAUGUACGUGUAUAAAUAAAUUUGUAAAUUUGUAUACGUAAA